GAAAGAGAGCUGCAGGCCAAAUACAAGCACCUCAAAAGAGUUCACCAAGAAAAGAGAAUGAAGCUUGAGGAGAAGAGAAGACUUUUGGAAGAAGAAAUAAUCUCUUUCUCUAAAAAGAAAGCUACCUCCGAGAUAUACCAGAACCAGAGCUUUAUGGGCAGCAACCUGAAGAAGGACAAAGACCGUAAGAACUCCAAUUUUAUGUAAAACAAAGGUUCCAGAUCACAGAAGGUCAUCACAAGCAAAAGUUAUUGAAAAGUUAGAAAUA
Molecule: long non-coding RNA, 268 nt
Organism: Myotis brandtii (Brandt's bat)
Lineage: Eukaryota; Metazoa; Chordata; Mammalia; Chiroptera; Vespertilionidae
Exons: 2
Source: RefSeq, a predicted model, not a curated record